This 78-nucleotide microRNA precursor is filed under the name Alligator mississippiensis (American alligator). RNAcentral's name for it is "mir-96 microRNA precursor family". It matches the Rfam family "mir-96 microRNA precursor family". Lineage: Eukaryota; Metazoa; Chordata; Crocodylia; Alligatoridae. The record is from Rfam by way of RNAcentral. RNAcentral also lists the same sequence under 2 other names.
UGGCCCAUUUUGGCACUAGCACAUUUUUGCUUUUGUACGUAUACUUUGAGCAAUUAUGUGUAGUGCCAAUAUGGGAGG